AGCCCAACAAAGUAUUCGUUACGUGGUUCACACUUUUGCUGCUGUGUUCACCGUCACUACAACGUGACAAUAUGGAACAACUGCUUGCUUCGACGAGACGUAGUACGAAGCAGCAUGCCUCGUCGUAAGAGGCUCACGUUGGCGAGGCCCGAUAAUGCCGACGAAAGUCCUUCACAUCGGCUAACCGAUGAUUAGAAGCGCACCGUGAUGCUCCGAGGAAUCGGAUGAGAGCCCAAGGCGAUCGACGGACGUCGCGAGACGGACUGAGACUGACGAUUAAGAAGCAGCUCGUGGCGCCCGAUGUUCACCACGGCAAGCUGAAAUCCCUCGAGAUUAUGGCCGUUCACGUCUGCUCAUGCGGUCGUCAACGCAUUAAGAGCACACAUUCAAGUAAUCCAGCUGUUCAAAAUAUCGAAAACUGCCAAUACAUCAGAGACAAAAAAAAAAAGUUGUAAGUUUCUUCUUCCUUCUAUUUUCCAAGUGGUCUCAUGCUCCUGCGCAUUCUCAUUGUCCGCAGUACUCUAGGCUAUGUUUGUCUUCGGGGCCUUAUUCCUUGAACUGUUCGUAAAAACCAGGCGUUAUAGCUCUUGUCCAUGUCCUGCUGAGUACACCGGUUCUCGUCCGGCAACAAAUGCUAAGCACCAAUUAUACAGGUCAGUAUUUGGGAGACAGAACACCUCCCGAUUAUCCCCCCCCCCCUUUAAUUAGUAAAGGGUGCGACACAUUGAGUUAUCAUUGAUUUUAUGGGGAACAGUGCUUUUUCGCAGUGCGAGAUGCAGUAUUUGACAGCGCGGGCUUUACAGCAGAGUGCACGAAAACAUGUGAACAAGCACAAACUGAAACACAACUGAAAUACCACAGCACAUUCUAAUAAAUUGUAUCAUCUUUAACCCACCAAAGUGUCCUCCUUAGUUGUCGGCAUUUAUUUGUUUAAGACACCGGUCCAAUAUUUCAGAUUAAUAGUACCUUAUAGGUGUGAUACAAUGUACACGUUACACCGAGAUCAAAGCGAAAUAAUAUCAUUGAGCAUUUGCUUCUUUAUAACAUUACCGAGCUUCUUGAAGGCAACUGAACUAGAUGAGGGCUUGUGACUAUAUUGACACGUGUACUUCUUUAUUAGAACGCAA
Non-coding RNA from Dermacentor andersoni, 1127 nucleotides. The record is from RefSeq and is a predicted model, not a curated record. NCBI's taxonomy places the organism in Eukaryota, Metazoa, Arthropoda, Arachnida, Ixodida, Ixodidae.